Molecule: ribosomal RNA, 425 nt
Filed under: uncultured cyanobacterium
Lineage: Bacteria; Bacillati; Cyanobacteriota
Description: bacterial SSU rRNA
Rfam family: Bacterial small subunit ribosomal RNA
Source: RNAcentral
GGGGAAUUUUCCGCAAUGGGCGAAAGCCUGACGGAGCAAUACCGCGUGAGGGAGGAAGGCUCUUGGGUUGUAAACCUCUUUUCUCAGGGAAGAAGACAAUGACGGUACCUGAGGAAUCAGCAUCGGCUAACUCCGUGCCAGCAGCCGCGGUAAUACGGAGGAUGCAAGCGUUAUCCGGAAUGAUUGGGCGUAAAGCGUCCGCAGGUGGCAGUGCAAGUCUGCUGUCAAAGACUGGGGCUCAACCCUGGAAAGGCAGUGGAAACUGCACAGCUGGAGUGCGGUAGGGGCAGAGGGAAUUCCCAGUGUAGCGGUGAAAUGCGUAGAGAUUGGGAAGAACACCGGUGGCGAAAGCGCUCUGCUAGGCCGUAACUGACACUGAGGGACGAAAGCUAGGGUAGCGAAUGGGAUUAGAUACCCCUGUAGUC